AGCACCGUCUGUGUUGCUCUCUUCAAGAAGCAGAAGCAAACUUUAGAAUUCAGCGGCAUGACAAAUUCCUGCUUCAGACACAGCUAGGUUCCCUUUGACAGGCUUUAAGUAAUAUGUUCUCCGUGUGCUUGAUCUGACACUAAGCUGCCCUGAAAAUAGCAGGCCGAGUCCACUAGCAAGAAUCACAUCAGACAACCUUGUAAAAAAAUCUCAAUGUCUCUCCCAAAUAUACUUUUCACUCCUUAGGUAAAUACGUGAAGCAAUUUAAUUUCUUUUUAUAUGUUGCUCAGCAGUACAUGGAAACCAAGCAGAGGUGGGGGCUGUGCUGUGGGUGUUUUCCUGCUGUAGCCUCACCUUGCUGCUGAGCACAGAGUAGGAGCCUGCUGGGUGCCAGGUUUGGAUGUUUUAAUCUCUGAGUGGCUCCUACGACGUCUUCACGCGCUGCUUGGACAAUGAAAGGAACCAAUAUUUGCGAUGGUGCCAACGCGGCCGUUCCAUGUUCUGUCUGCUUUAUGAGUGCCUCGCACAGAGGCUAUGGCAAAAACAACACCAUGGAGUUACCUGGGGGGAUUCAUGCAGUGGAGCUGUGCAGACGGAUGUGGUCUCCCCUUGAGGCGUGUGCGGUCGCACUGCAGUUGGUAGAGGAGAAAUGGCAACCAGAGUUAGCUGCAGAUGAUUUAUGGGCAUGACUACUUGCCUUUUAUUUUAGUGGGAGUUGAAUGGAUGUUUGGGUGCUUAACACUACUCCAACAUUUUUGCAGGCUGAUUAAUCCACAAAAAGCUUGUAAUUAUCUGAGUGUUUCCCUCUGGACUUCUUAGCAUGUGUUGGUGUCUGGCUCUCUCUGUAGCAUAUGCUAUCCAUUUCCCAAAUCUAUUACAAUCCAAUAAAAGAUAACUUAUGCAGAGUCAGACUGCACGACUACUCUCUUUCAUGUGCAGUGUGGUCUUUGUUUAUCAUGUCAUUUGUUAAGUUACUUGGGUAAAAAUGCCAUGGCAACACAAUGCAAUGCUUGCAGAUAAUGAAAUGAUGUACUAAUUACUGAACAGCAUAUACUAAUUAAAGACACAUUUUAGUUCAACAAUUUCAUCUCUUGCUGCAUGAUGAAAAGACAGGAAAAAGGCAGCAGUUGCAAUAGUGCAACAAUGAUUCAGGUUGGCUAGCUGACGAAAUGUGUGCAAGACAGCAAGCUAUGUGCUGCGUGCCUUCUACUGAUCUUAGGAGAGUCAAUGCAGAAACAGUUCUUUCUGAAAACGCUUUGAAUCAAACACUUCCCUUGACCCAUCAAAUUUUCACACCUUUAUAUUCCUAAUAAAGGUACCUUGUGACCAACAGAUAAUGUUUAUUCACCCACCAGUUGGCGCAACUUGUUCUCUGAAGGCCAGGUUUGGUGGCAAUGUGUGUUGACUUGAUUGAUACCCAUUCACUUAAAUUAGUGCUGAACCUCCAACUGCAGCUGUAUUAAAGGCUUUCUGGAAUUGGAGAUGUUUAUGUUCUGGUAGAAGCAGUUUGUUUUUCUUUCCUGACAACAAAUUAAG
This is a long non-coding RNA of Gallus gallus (chicken), 1536 nucleotides long. The record is from Ensembl. NCBI's taxonomy places the organism in Eukaryota, Metazoa, Chordata, Aves, Galliformes, Phasianidae.